CCUACGGGAGGCAGCAGUGGGGAAUUUUGGACAAUGGGCGCAAGCCUGAUCCAGCAAUGCCGCGUGAGUGAAGAAGGCCUUCGGGUUGUAAAGCUCUUUUGUCAGGGAAGAAACGGCCGAGGCUAAUACCUUUGGCUAAUGACGGUACCUGAAGAAUAAGCACCGGCUAACUACGUGCCAGCAGCCGCGGUAAUACGUAGGGUGCAGGCGUUAAUCGGAAUUACUGGGCGUAAAGCGUGCGCAGGCGGUUUUGUAAGUCUGACGUGAAAUCCCCGGGCUCAACCUGGGAAUUGCGUUGGAGACUGCAAGGCUGGAGUCUGGCAGAGGGGGGUAGAAUUCCGACGUGUAGCAGUGAAAUGCGUAGAGAUGUGGAGGAACACCGAUGGCGAAGGCAGCCCCCUGGGUCAAGACUGACGCUCAUGCACGAAAGCGUGGGGAGCAAACAGGAUUAGAUACCCUGGUAGUCCACGCCCUAAACGAUGUCUACUAGUUGUCGGGUCUUAAUUGUNUGUACGUCNNUACGCGUGAGAGACGCCGUGGGAGGUACGGUCGCGAGAGUAAACGUACGAAAGAGAAGUUAGUACGGCGUGAGACGUAGACCGACGGACGACGACGAGGGAGGAGG
This 625-nucleotide ribosomal RNA is filed under the name uncultured bacterium. RNAcentral describes it as "bacterial SSU rRNA". The stretch from base 1 to 536 matches the Rfam family "Bacterial small subunit ribosomal RNA", at positions 338 to 873 of the family's 1533-position model. The record is from RNAcentral.